This 81-nucleotide transfer RNA is filed under the name Caudoviricetes sp. Its description in RNAcentral is "tRNA-Lys". It matches the Rfam family "tRNA". Rfam says of the family: Transfer RNA (tRNA) molecules are approximately 80 nucleotides in length. Their secondary structure includes four short double-helical elements and three loops (D, anti-codon, and T loops). Lineage: Duplodnaviria; Heunggongvirae; Uroviricota; Caudoviricetes. The record is from RNAcentral.
UCUGGUGUAGCUCAGUUGGUAGAGCGUAUGAUUUUUUGAAGGUUUAUCAUAAUGUCGGCGGUUCGAGUCCGUCCACCGGAG